Molecule: ribosomal RNA, 468 nt
Filed under: uncultured bacterium
Lineage: Bacteria
Description: partial 16S ribosomal RNA
Rfam family: Bacterial small subunit ribosomal RNA
Source: RNAcentral
GACGAACGCUGGCGGCGUGCUUAACACAUGCAAGUCGAACGGAAAGGCCCUGCUUUUGUGGGGUGCUCGAGUGGCGAACGGGUGAGUAACACGUGAGUAACCUGCCCUUGACUUUGGGAUAACUUCAGGAAACUGGGGCUAAUACCGGAUAGGAGCUCCUGCUGCAUGGUGGGGGUUGGAAAGUUUCGGCGGUUGGGGAUGGACUCGCGGCUUAUCAGCUUGUUGGUGGGGUAGUGGCUUACCAAGGCGUUGACGGGUAGCCGGACUGAGAGGGUGAGCGGCCACAUUGGGACUGAGAUACGGCACAGACUCCUACGGGAGGCAGCAGUGGGGAAUAUUGCACAAUGGGCGGAAGCCUGAUGCAGCAACGCCGCGUGCGGGAUGACGGCCUUCGGGUUGUAAACCGCUUUCGCCUGUGACGAAGCGUGAGUGACGGUAAUGGGUAGAGAAGCACCGGCUAACUACGUG